This 129-nucleotide ribosomal RNA is filed under the name Cavia aperea (Brazilian guinea pig). The record is from RNAcentral. Lineage: Eukaryota; Metazoa; Chordata; Mammalia; Rodentia; Caviidae.
GUCUACGGCCAUACCACCCUGAACACCCUGAUCUCGUCUGAUCUUGGAAGCUAAGCAGGGUCGGGCCUGGUUAGUACUUGGAUGGGAAGAACCUUUACACCUCACUCAAAAGACGACACAAUACAGACU